UUACCUCCAAACACCUCCCGAAGUCAAUAUUUGAAUUUGGUACUAGUUUGAAAUAUCAAAAGAUUCAGGCUAAGCCAAUCCUAUUACACCAUGUCUAAUUCCAUCGCCUAAACCCUUGUUUGCUAAUGGUUUAAAAAAAAAAAUCUGAAUCAGCAGCAGACUGAUUAAGUUGCGCUUUUUGUUUCCAUUAUUUAAACCCCGGUAAACAUUACCGAAUCCCAGUACCAAAAUUUACAUACAUUUACAGUCUACGCAUUCUUGGGCUGCUCAGCCUACAGGAAGUUUGUGGCUGAUUCUUGUUGUGCAUAUGAAAAUGACUAUGAAAUUUGGCAGGUACUUGCCAACAGUUUGAGGUAUUUCUUGAGGCGGCCAACCACCGAGGAGGGAAGUUUUUGAGCCAUAACCUUAUUCUAGAUCAUAAUAUAUUGGAUGGAUUCCUGAGUUAUUCCAGGAGAAACUGUAGAAUGUCAAUGACCAAUUGCACAUCAUAUGCUUACACAUUCUUCUCACAAAAAGAUGAACAACAAUUAUUGCAGCUUAGAGUUUACUACAAUAUCAGUGUAAUAUAAUAAUAUAUUUUUUUUCAAAGCAAAUUGAACAAAUGAGAAAUUAUGUCUGAUCCAUGGAAUGAUAUGUUUUGUCUAUCUCUGUUAAGUUCAAUUAAAUUGUUAUAUUUUUUUUAGAUAAACAGAAAAAAGAAUGAGAUAAAUUAACUUAGUCGAACUAACUCGAGUAUCCAAUGUCUAAGAUUAUCUAGCAACUUAGAAGGUGGUGAGUUCAGAAAGUUUAUGCUUAAGUGUAGCAUUUGUGGCCAAUUAAUGCGCACGCUUGUUUGUCUUCUGGUAUAUAUGCAUAAAUGUGAUAUUUUUAUUAAGGGUUAAAUAAUUUCAAUUCAAAAAUUUUGAACAAUUUAGCUUUUAUAUAUUUAUUAAAAGCUAAAUAAGUCUUGAUAUUUUUUUAAUAAUAUAAUAUUAUUUUUAUAAUUUAAAAUAUUAAAAUUUAAUAUUUUAAUUAAUAUAAAAUUAAAAAAAUAUAUAUAUACGCACAAAUUUCAUAUUUGAAAUUAAAUAAGAAAAAUGUAAGCAAAUAUUAAUUUAAUAAAUAAUGAAUUUUUUAAAAUAAAAAAAUUUCAUACUUUAAUUCUUUCCUUGAAUACAUGUGAUUUAAAAACUUGUUUUUGAAUCGGCAGAACAAACUUUUUUGAUUUAGAGUUUGAUAAUUUUAAUGGAAAUUCUUUAAAAUUGAUAACUUAUAAUCUUGAUAAAAUUUUUAUAGUUUGAGAUUUAAUAUCCUUCAUCGUUUCAUUUAAAGAGGAAGAUCUUUACAUCUAUAGAGCUCUGAUUUGAGAAGAGGAGCUCCAAUUCCUUUUUAGGAAGUGUUGCCAUUUUAUUGAUUAAUUUAUCCUAUUUAAUUGAGUUACAUGAUAGUUUUUAAUUUAAAUGGCCUCAUUUAAUAAAAUUACUUUAAUUAAAAAUCAUUAAAUAAAUUGUGUGGAUUCAAUAGAGCUGUGACAUUUAUAAUUGAAAUUUAUUUAUUUUUUAAUUCCUACAAUAUAAUAUAAAUAGUAAAUAAUUUUUAAAAUUAUAAAAAUGCAAUCUUAUUAUAUAAAAAAGUUAUUUUUAUUAUUAAAAAAAUAAUAUUUUAUUAUUAAAAAAUAUUAUAUUAAAUAAUGAUUUAUUCGGCUCUUAAAUAAAAAUAUAAGCUUAUUAAAUCCUUGGACAGAAGAAUAUGGAUACAGAACUGCAUUUCUAGGUGCCCCAUAUUUGAGUAAUCAAUUCAACAUCUGUAGCAAUUGAUUUCCAAUUCAUAGUAUAGAAACCUAAUCAAAUAAAAAGAGGAAAGAAAUAGCUAGAUAAAUGCUCUUACUUUUGAUUUGGCAGAAGAAGAAAGCAAGAGAGACAAGUGAGGAUCACACCGGUGACGCAAUAGAAGCAACUGUUAGAUUUGGGUUCCAAUGGUGAAGAACGGGUAUUUGGAGUUGAGAGUGAGAGUAGAAGUGAAGAAGAGAGUUUCUGAAAUCUUUGAUGUUGCAUAUUGGUCUGAAAUGAUUGAUGCCCCUAUAGAGAGAUUCG
This 2072-nucleotide long non-coding RNA is filed under the name Manihot esculenta (cassava). Its description in RNAcentral is "long non-coding RNA (MESC_LNC001588)". The record is from RNAcentral. Lineage: Eukaryota; Viridiplantae; Streptophyta; Magnoliopsida; Malpighiales; Euphorbiaceae.